This 492-nucleotide ribosomal RNA is filed under the name uncultured bacterium. RNAcentral describes it as "partial 16S ribosomal RNA". It matches the Rfam family "Bacterial small subunit ribosomal RNA", at positions 29 to 507 of the family's 1533-position model. The record is from RNAcentral.
AGUGAACGCUGGCGGUAGGCCUAACACAUGCAAGUCGAACGGCAGCACGGUAAGAUCUUGCUCUUACGGGUGGCGAGUGGCGGACGGGUGAGGAAUACAUCGGAAUCUACUUUUUCGUGGGUGAUAACGUAGGGAAACUUACGCUAAUACCGCAUACGACCUACGGGUGAAAGCAGGGGAUCUUCGGACCUUUCGCGAUUGAAUGAGCCGAUGUCGGAUUAGCUAGUUGGCGGGGUAAAGGCCCACCAAGGCGACGAUCCGUAGCUGGUCUGAGAGGAUGAUCAGCCACACUGGAACUGAGACACGGUCCAGACUCCUACGGGAGGCAGCAGUGGGGAAUAUUGGACAAUGGGCGCAAGCCUGAUCCAGCCAUACCGCGUGGGUGAAGAAGGCCUUCGGGUUGUAAAGCCCUGUUGUUGGGAAAGAAAAGCAGCAGGUUAAUACCCCGCUGUUCUGACGGUACCCAAAGAAUAAGCACCGGCUAACUUCGUG